RNAcentral lists this ribosomal RNA (241 nucleotides) under uncultured bacterium. RNAcentral describes it as "partial 16S ribosomal RNA". It matches the Rfam family "Bacterial small subunit ribosomal RNA", at positions 524 to 763 of the family's 1533-position model. The record is from RNAcentral.
UACGAAGGGGGCUAGCGUUGCUCGGAAUCACUGGGCGUAAAGGGUGCGUAGGCGGGUCUUUUAAGUCGGGGGUGAAAUCCUGGAGCUCAACUCCAGAACUGCCUUCGAUACUGGCGAUCUUGAGUCCGGAAGAGGUGAGUGGAAUUCCUAGUGUAGAGGUGGAAUUCGUAGAUAUUAGGAAGAACACCAGUGGCGAAGGCGGCUCACUGGUCCGGUACUGACGCUGAGGUGCGGAAAAGCG